GCCCUUAGAGUUUGAUCCUGGCUCAGGAUGAACGCUGGCGGCGCGCCUAACACAUGCAAGUCGAACGGCACCCAUCUUCGGAUGGAAGCGAGUGGCGAACGGCUGAGUAACACGUGGAGAACCUGCCCCCUCCCCCGGGAUAGCCGCCCGAAAGGACGGGUAAUACCGGAUACCCCGGGGUGCCGCAUGGCACCCCGGCUAAAGCCCCGACGGGAGGGGAUGGCUCCGCGGCCCAUCAGGUAGACGGCGGGGUGACGGCCCACCGUGCCGACAACGGGUAGCCGGGUUGAGAGACCGACCGGCCAGAUUGGGACUGAGACACGGCCCAGACUCCUACGGGAGGCAGCAGUGGGGAAUCUUGCGCAAUGGGGGGAACCCUGACGCAGCGACGCCGCGUGCGGGACGGAGGCCUUCGGGUCGUAAACCGCUUUCAGCAGGGAAGAGUCAAGACUGUACCUGCAGAAGAAGCCCCGGCUAACUACGUGCCAGCAGCCGCGGUAAUACGUAGGGGGCGAGCGUUAUCCGGAUUCAUUGGGCGUAAAGCGCGCGUAGGCGGCCCGGCAGGCCGGGGGUCGAAGCGGGGGGCUCAACCCCCCGAAGCCCCCGGAACCUCCGCGGCUUGGGUCCGGUAGGGGAGGGUGGAACACCCGGUGUAGCGGUGGAAUGCGCAGAUAUCGGGUGGAACACCGGUGGCGAAGGCGGCCCUCUGGGCCGAGACCGACGCUGAGGCGCGAAAGCUGGGGGAGCGAACAGGAUUAGAUACCCUGGUAGUCCCAGCCGUAAACGAUGGACGCUAGGUGUGGGGGGACGAUCCCCCCGUGCCGCAGCCAACGCAUUAAGCGUCCCGCCUGGGGAGUACGGCCGCAAGGCUAAAACUCAAAGGAAUUGACGGAAGGGC
This 898-nucleotide ribosomal RNA is filed under the name uncultured bacterium. RNAcentral describes it as "bacterial SSU rRNA". It matches the Rfam family "Bacterial small subunit ribosomal RNA", at positions 1 to 922 of the family's 1533-position model. The record is from RNAcentral.